RNAcentral lists this ribosomal RNA (446 nucleotides) under uncultured bacterium. RNAcentral's name for it is "partial 16S ribosomal RNA". It matches the Rfam family "Bacterial small subunit ribosomal RNA", at positions 338 to 795 of the family's 1533-position model. The record is from RNAcentral.
CCUACGGGUGACAGCAGUCGAGAAUCAUUCACAAUGGGGGAAACCCUGAUGGUGCGACGCCGCGUGGGGGAAUGAAGGUCUUCGGAUUGUAAACCCCUGUCAUGUGGGAGCAAAUUAAAAAGAUAGUACCACAAGAGGAAGAGACGGCUAACUCUGUGCCAGCAGCCGCGGGAAUACAGAGGUCUCAAGCGUUGUUCGGAAUCACUGGGCGUAAAGCGUGCGUAGGCUGUUUCGUAAGUCGUGUGUGAAAGGCGCGGGCUCAACCCGCGGACGGCACAUGAUACUGCGAGACUAGAGUAAUGGAGGGGGAACCGGAAUUCUCGGUGUAGCAGUGAAAUGCGUAGAUAUCGAGAGGAACACUCGUGGCGAAGGCGGGUUCCUGGACAUUAACUGACGCUGAGGCACGAAGGCCAGGGGAGCGAAAGGGAUUAGAUACCCCUGUAGUC